RNAcentral lists this ribosomal RNA (820 nucleotides) under Truncatella laurocerasi. RNAcentral's name for it is "LSU rRNA". It matches the Rfam family "Eukaryotic large subunit ribosomal RNA", at positions 95 to 938 of the family's 3401-position model. Lineage: Eukaryota; Fungi; Ascomycota; Sordariomycetes; Amphisphaeriales; Sporocadaceae. The record is from RNAcentral.
GAAGCGGCAAUAGCUCAAAUUUGAAAUCUGGCGCUUGCGUCCGUAGUUGUAAUUUGCAGAGGAUGAUUUUGGUUAGGUACCUUCCGAGUUCCUUGGAACAGGACGCCUUAGAGGGUGAGAGCCCCGUACGGUUGGAUGCCGAGCCUUUGUAAAUCUCCUUCGACGAGUCGAGUAGUUUGGGAAUGCUGCUCUAAAUGGGAGGUAAAUUUCUUCUAAAGCUAAAUACCGGCCAGAGACCGAUAGCGCACAAGUAGAGUGAUCGAAAGAUGAAAAGCACUUUGAAAAGAGGGUUAAAUAGCACGUGAAAUUGUUGAAAGGGAAGGAUUUAUGACCAGACUUUUUCUAGGAGGAUCAUCCGGUGUUCUCACCGGUGCACUUCUUCUAGUCUAGGCCAGCAUCGACUUUCGGCGGUGGAUAAAAGCUUUGGGAAUGUGACUCCUUUCGGGGAGUGUUAUAGCCUAUUGUAUAAUACACUGCUGGGGGUCGAGGUACGCGCUUCUGCAAGGAUGCUGGCGUAAUGGUUAUCAAUCACCCGUCUUGAAACACGGACCAAGGAGUCGAACAUUUGUGCAAGUGUUUGGGUGUUAAACCCUCACGCGUAAUGAAAGUGAACGGAGGUGAGAGCCCUUACGGGUGCAUCAUCGACCGAUCCUGAUGUUUUCGGAUGGAUUUGAGUAAGAGCAUAACUGUUCGGACCCGAAAGAUGGUGAACUAUGCGUGGAUAGGGUGAAGCCAGAGGAAACUCUGGUGGAGGCUCGCAGCGGUUUCUGACGUGCAAAUCGAUCGUCAAAUCUGCGCAUGGGGGCGAAAGACUAAUCGA